UAAGGAAUAUUGGACAAUGCCCGCAAGGGUGAUCCAGCCAUGCCGCGUGCAGGAAGACGGCCCUAUGGGUUGUAAACUGCUUUUACACCGGAGAAAACCCCCCUACGUGUAGGGGGCUGAUAGUAUGGUGAGAAUAAGCAUCGGCUAACUUCGUGCCAGCAGCCGCGGUAAGACGAAGGAUGCAAGCGUUAUCCGGAUUCAUUGGGUUUAAAGGGAGCGUAGGUGGCCUUAUAAGUCAGUGGUGAAAUCU
Molecule: ribosomal RNA, 250 nt
Filed under: uncultured bacterium
Lineage: Bacteria
Description: partial 16S ribosomal RNA
Rfam family: Bacterial small subunit ribosomal RNA
Source: RNAcentral